AUACUCUGCUUUCUCUCCAGAUCAUAUAAAUCUUAUGCCUUUUACUAAAGAUUUCCAUGGGGAGGAACAAUUGUGAGUCUUUACUCCAUUUUUUAAGGCCUUAUUUCGACAAGGCU
Molecule: small nuclear RNA, 116 nt
Organism: Ochotona curzoniae (black-lipped pika)
Lineage: Eukaryota; Metazoa; Chordata; Mammalia; Lagomorpha; Ochotonidae
Product: U5 spliceosomal RNA
Exons: 1
Source: RefSeq, a predicted model, not a curated record